RNAcentral lists this ribosomal RNA (549 nucleotides) under uncultured Glomus. Its description in RNAcentral is "SSU rRNA". It matches the Rfam family "Eukaryotic small subunit ribosomal RNA", at positions 548 to 1098 of the family's 1831-position model. Lineage: Eukaryota; Fungi; Glomeromycota; Glomeromycetes; Glomerales; Glomeraceae. The record is from RNAcentral.
UUGGAGGGCAAGUCUGGUGCCAGCAGCCGCGGUAAUUCCAGCUCCAAUAGCGUAUAUUAAAGUUGUUGCAGUUAAAAAGCUCGUAGUUGAAUUUCGGGGUCAGUAGGUUGGUCGUGCCACUGGUAUGUACUGAUCUCACUGAUUCCUCCUUCCUGAUGAGCUGUAAUGCCAUUAAUUUGGUGUUGCAGGGAAUCUGGACUGUUACUUUGAAAAAAUUAGAGUGUUUAAAGCAGGCUAACGCUUGAAUACAUUAGCAUGGAAUAAUGAAAUAGGACGUUCGAUCCUAUUUUGUUGGUUUCUAGGAUUGACGUAAUGAUUAAUAGGGAUAGUUGGGGGCAUUAGUAUUCAAUUGUCAGAGGUGAAAUUCUUGGAUUUAUUGAAGACUAACUACUGCGAAAGCAUUUGCCAAGGAUGUUUUCAUUAAUCAAGAACGAAAGUUAGGGGAUCGAAGACGAUCAGAUACCGUCGUAGUCUUAACCAUAAACUAUGCCGACUAGGGAUCGGAUGAUGUUAAUUUUUUAAUGACUCAUUCGGCGCCUUACGGGAAAC